CCUACGGGAGGCAGCAGUGAGGAAUAUUGGUCAAUGGGCGGGAGACUGAACCAGCGAAGCCGCGUGAGGGAUGAAGGUACAGAGUAUCGUAAACCUCUUUUGUCAGGGAACAAAGGCGGGGACGUGUCCCCGGAUCAGUGUACCUGAAGAAAAAGCAUCGGCUAACGCCGUGCCAGCAGCCGCGGUAAUACGGAGGAUGCGAGCGUUAUCCGGAUUUAUUGGGGGUAAAGGGGGCGCAGGCGGUCUGUUAAGUCAGCGGGUAAAGCGCCGGGCUCAACCCCGGCCCGGCCGUUGAACCUGGCAGUCUCGAGUUGGAGAGAGGUAUGCGGAAUGCGCGGUGUAGCGGUGAAAUGCAUAGAUAUCGCGAAGAACUCCGAUUGCGAAGGCAGCAUGCCGGCUCCACACUGACGCUGAGGCACGAAAGCGUGGGUAUCGAACAGGAUUAGAUACCCCAGUAGUC
Molecule: ribosomal RNA, 460 nt
Filed under: uncultured bacterium
Lineage: Bacteria
Description: partial 16S ribosomal RNA
Rfam family: Bacterial small subunit ribosomal RNA
Source: RNAcentral